AUGGCGUGGGGCUGCAUGACAGCCCUCAGCCAAUCAGCAGCAAGGGACAGGGCUGUAUGACAGAUCAGACCUUGCAGCCAAUCAGAUGUGAGGGUGGCAGCACUGGGGCCCCCCUCAGCCAAUCAGAGGUAUGAAGAGGCUUUGCCACGAUUGAUCCAUGAGAAUGAUGGCUGCCUCCACGAUCUACCUGCAAAAUGGGCUGGCUGCCACCUUGGUGGCUCUGCUUUGAAGAUGAGAUUUCAUGAACAAAAGAGCUUUGAAAUUGCCAGUCUAACUCCUCCAGCACUCCAGAUGUGUGACCUUGAUGCAUCUCAUUUAAAACAAAAAAAAAACACCGUAUGGCUAGCUUGUUGCUGAUAAAAGAUAGUUGUUCUACUGCCUUGGGGCAGUUAAGUAUUUCUACCAAGAAUUUCAAUAAUUAACCAGUUAUAUUAGACUGUUGAAUGAAUAGGCUUGAAUUUCUGCAGGUUAGUAAUCUGUACUUCAGGCUUUUGGAACACAGCAUUCUUACAUGAAUAAACGUUUUUGUCUUGAAACAUAGUUAAGUUAUACCCAUUAUCAGAAAAUCUUGGGUCAAAAAUAAAUCCAUGGGAAAAGAUAGCUUGGAAAUAACAUCCGGACUGAAAAUCUAGCCCCAAAUUUGCAAGAAUACUAGGGAUAUUGUCAAUCUGUGACCAUAAAAGGGUCCAGUUCUUUCAUCAUUACUUGCUACAGGCUUGAUACUCUGUCACUGAAGUCAAUGGGAGCUUCGGAACUAACUCUGAGGAGGGCACAUCCCUCCUGAUACAUAGUUCUUUAGCCCGCAAGUAGUCUGACUGAAACAAAGUGUACAUAUCUGCUUGCAGUGCAAAGUAUUUGCACUAGGAAGAGGGGCCCACUGCACAGAUAUACAGUGGUAAGAAAGGCCUUCUGGAUCUGCAUUUCUCAAUCUUUUCAGCUUGGAAACUCCUUAUUCAAACUUAAGUAUUCUGUCACUUCUGUAGUAUAGGUAAGAGUAAAAAAGACAGAAAUGAUACCCCUAUAUAAUCAAAGUAUGUGCAUUAGAAGGUUGACAGAGUACAGUUGUCCUUGAAGGGUACGAGUGAGCAGGGCAUAUGGAAAUGAAAUGUCCUUUGGUUUGCACUGCAGUGUUUCAACUUCUUACAACCUUCCCUUUGUUUUGGUAGCCUCCCCACCCUACUAGAUCCUAUCAUUUGAAUAAAGAAUUGGGGCACUAGGGUUGGGACUUGGAUUAUUUGCAUUCAAUUCCUGGCUCAGCCACAGACUCUGAUUUUGGGCAAGUAUCUUAAACCAGUUUUGAAGGUAUUUAGAUGCCUAACUCUCACUGAAAUCUGAGAGUUGUGUGCCUAACUACCUUACAAAAACUUGGUUGUUAAACUAAUUUAGAGAAUGGGAAUACGAUUUCCCUACCUUUUAGGGAUUUUAUUGGUUGUAAUAAUUGCAGUAUUUUCAGAGCUCUUGGAUAUUGUAUGCAGUGUUGGAUAAUGGAAACAAUGAAAAACACAACAAGCAAAUACUAAAUUGAGCAACUCAUAGAAAAUUAAGAGUUUUAGACUGCCUUAUUCCUUCUGCUUAGGCCCAUAUCAUGUGAAACAACAGUCUGGCUAUGUGAAUGUUUGUUUGUAAUGGCUUAACUUUAUUAAAAAGGUUUUUAUCUUUUG
This is a long non-coding RNA of Gavialis gangeticus (Gharial), 1661 nucleotides long. RefSeq lists it as uncharacterized. The transcript is spliced from 2 exons. NCBI's taxonomy places the organism in Eukaryota, Metazoa, Chordata, Crocodylia, Gavialidae. The record is from RefSeq and is a predicted model, not a curated record.